RNAcentral lists this ribosomal RNA (542 nucleotides) under Chaetomium globosum. RNAcentral describes it as "eukaryotic LSU rRNA". The stretch from base 173 to 326 matches the Rfam family "5.8S ribosomal RNA". Lineage: Eukaryota; Fungi; Ascomycota; Sordariomycetes; Sordariales; Chaetomiaceae. The record is from RNAcentral.
UCCGUAGGUGAACCUGCGGAGGGAUCAUUAUCGAGUUAUUCAACUCCCAAACCCUAUGUGAACUUACCACUUGUUGCUUCGGCGCGCGCUUCGGCGCCGCCGAGGACACUUAAACUCUUUGUUUUUAUAAGCAUUUCUGAGUGGCCGAAAGGCAAAAAUACAAAUGAAUCAAAACUUUCAACAACGGAUCUCUUGGUUCUGGCAUCGAUGAAGAACGCAGCGAAAUGCGAUAAGUAAUGUGAAUUGCAGAAUUCAGUGAAUCAUCGAAUCUUUGAACGCACAUUGCGCCCGCCAGCAUUCUGGCGGGCAUGCCUGUUCGAGCGUCAUUUCAACCAUCAAGCCCCCGGGCUUGUGUUGGGGACCUGCGGCUGCCGCAGGCCCUGAAAAGCAGUGGCGGGCUCGCUGUCGCACCGAGCGUAGUAGCAUACAUCUCGCUCUGGUCGCGCCGCGGGUUCCGGCCGUUAAACCACCUUUUAACCCAAGGUUGACCUCGGAUCAGGUAGGAAGACCCGCUGAACUUAAGCAUAUCAAUAAGCGGAGGA